This 216-nucleotide ribosomal RNA is filed under the name uncultured bacterium. Its description in RNAcentral is "partial 16S ribosomal RNA". It matches the Rfam family "Bacterial small subunit ribosomal RNA", at positions 122 to 334 of the family's 1533-position model. The record is from RNAcentral.
AAAUCUGUCCAUCGGCGGGGGAUAGCCGGCCCAACGGCCCGGGGUAAUAGCGCGUACGCUCUCUGGGAGGCAUCUCCUGGCGAGGAAAGCAGCAAUGCACCGAUGGAGGACUUCGCGGCCUAUCAGCUAGUUGGCGGGGUAAUGGCCCACCAAGGCAACGACGGGUAGCUGGUCUGAGAGGAUGAUCAGCCACAUUGGGACUGAGACACGGCCCAG